AUUUAAGUAAUUUAAAAAAAAAUUUUGAUUUGUGGUAUCAAAUAUGUAAGAGAUUACCUUGAAUU
This 65-nucleotide transfer RNA is filed under the name Metrius contractus. RNAcentral describes it as "tRNA-His". The record is from RNAcentral. Lineage: Eukaryota; Metazoa; Arthropoda; Insecta; Coleoptera; Carabidae.